This 442-nucleotide ribosomal RNA is filed under the name uncultured bacterium. Its description in RNAcentral is "partial 16S ribosomal RNA". It matches the Rfam family "Bacterial small subunit ribosomal RNA", at positions 338 to 795 of the family's 1533-position model. The record is from RNAcentral.
CCUACGGGUGGCUGCAGUGGGGGAUAUUGGACAAUGGGGGGAACCCUGAUCCAGCGACGCCGCGUGAGUGAAGAAGGAUCUCGGGAUGUAAAGCUCUAUCAGCAGGGAAGAAGAAAUGACGGUACCUGAGUAAGAAGCCCCGGCUAACGACGGGCCAGCAGCCGCGGUAAUACGGAGGGGGCAAGCGUUAUCCGGAAUUACUGGGUGUAAAGGGAGCGUAGACGGUGAUGUAAGUCUGGAGUGAAAGGCGGGGGCCCAACCCCCGGACUGCUCUGGAAACUAGGUGACUGGAGUGCAGGAGAGGUGCGCGGAAUUCCUAGUGUAGCGGUGCAAUGCGUCGAUAUUAGGAGGAACACCAGUGGCGAAGGCGGCUCACUGGACUGUAACUGACGUUGAGGCUCGAACGCGUGGGGAGCAAACAGGAUUAGAUACCCUGGUAGUC